This 254-nucleotide ribosomal RNA is filed under the name uncultured bacterium. RNAcentral's name for it is "partial 16S ribosomal RNA". It matches the Rfam family "Bacterial small subunit ribosomal RNA", at positions 524 to 776 of the family's 1533-position model. The record is from RNAcentral.
UACGUAGGGUGCAAGCGUUGUCCGGAAUUAUUGGGCGUAAAGAGCUCGUAGGCGGUUUGUCGCGUCUGCCGUGAAAGUCCGGGGCUCAACUCCGGAUCUGCGGUGGGUACGGGCAGACUAGAGUGAUGUAGGGGAGACUGGAAUUCCUGGUGUAGCGGUGAAAUGCGCAGAUAUCAGGAGGAACACCGAUGGCGAAGGCAGGGUCUCUGGGCAUUAACUGACGCUGAGGAGCGAAAGCAUGGGGAGCGAACAGG